UGGGUGAUCUGCCCUGCACUUCGGGAUAAGCCUGGGAAACUGGGUCUAAUACCGGAUAUACCUCAUUGAUCUCCUGGUUGGUGGGGAAAGCUUUUGCGGUGUGGGAUGGGCCCGCGGCCUAUCAGCUUGUUGGUGAGGUUACGGCUCACCAAGGCGUCGACGGGUAGCAGGCCUGAGAGGGCGACCGGCCACACUGGGACUGAGACACGGCCCAGACUCCUACGGGAGCAG
This 231-nucleotide ribosomal RNA is filed under the name uncultured bacterium. RNAcentral describes it as "partial 16S ribosomal RNA". It matches the Rfam family "Bacterial small subunit ribosomal RNA", at positions 118 to 347 of the family's 1533-position model. The record is from RNAcentral.